RNAcentral lists this ribosomal RNA (422 nucleotides) under uncultured bacterium. RNAcentral describes it as "partial 16S ribosomal RNA". It matches the Rfam family "Bacterial small subunit ribosomal RNA", at positions 360 to 774 of the family's 1533-position model. The record is from RNAcentral.
AAUAUUGGACAAUUGGCGAAAGCCUGCUCCAGCCAUGCCGCGUGUUUGAAGAAGGUCUUCGGAUUGUAAAGCACUUCAAGGUGUGAGGAAUGGUUGUAGGUUAAUAACCUGCAAUUUUGACGUUACCAACAGAAUAAGCACCGGCUAACUUCGUGCCCGCAGCCGCGGUAAUACGAAGGGUGCAAGCGUUAAUAGGAAUUACUGGGCGUAAAGUGAGCGUAGGUGGUUCGUUAAGUUGGAAGUGAAAGCCCCGGGCUUAACCUGGGAAUUGCUUUCAAAACUGACGAACUAGAGUACGGUAGAGGAUAGUGGAAUUUCCUGUGUAGCGGUGAAAUGCGUAGAUAUAGGAAGGAACAUCAGUGGCGAAGGCGACUACCUGGACUGAUACUGACACUGAGGUGCGAAAGCGUGGGGAGCAAACA